This 834-nucleotide ribosomal RNA is filed under the name Enterococcus faecium. RNAcentral describes it as "partial 23S ribosomal RNA". It matches the Rfam family "Bacterial large subunit ribosomal RNA", at positions 403 to 1239 of the family's 2925-position model. The record is from RNAcentral. Lineage: Bacteria; Bacillati; Bacillota; Bacilli; Lactobacillales; Enterococcaceae.
GGAUCCUGAGUACGGCGGAACACGAGAAAUUCCGUCGGAAUCCGGGAGGACCAUCUCCCAAGGCUAAAUACUCCCUAGUGACCGAUAGUGAACCAGUACCGUGAGGGAAAGGUGAAAAGCACCCCGGAAGGGGAGUGAAAUAGAACCUGAAACCGUGUGCCUACAACAAGUCAAAGCCCGUUAAUGGGUGAUGGCGUGCCUUUUGUAGAAUGAACCGGCGAGUUACGAUUGCAUGCGAGGUUAAGUUGAAGAGACGGAGCCGCAGCGAAAGCGAGUCUGAAUAGGGCGUUUGAGUAUGUAGUCGUAGACCCGAAACCAUGUGAUCUACCCAUGUCCAGGUUGAAGGUGCGGUAAAACGCACUGGAGGACCGAACCCACGUACGUUGAAAAGUGCGGGGAUGAGGUGUGGGUAGCGGAGAAAUUCCAAACGAACUUGGAGAUAGCUGGUUCUCUCCGAAAUAGCUUUAGGGCUAGCCUCGGAAUUGAGAAUGAUGGAGGUAGAGCACUGUUUGGACUAGGGGCCCAUCUCGGGUUACCGAAUUCAGAUAAACUCCGAAUGCCAUUCAUUCAUAUCCGGGAGUCAGACUGUGAGUGAUAAGAUCCAUAGUCGAAAGGGAAACAGCCCAGACCACCAGCUAAGGUCCCAAAAUAUAUGUUAAGUGGAAAAGGAUGUGGGGUUGCACAGACAACUAGGAUGUUGGCUUAGAAGCAGCCACCAUUUAAAGAGUGCGUAAUAGCUCACUAGUCGAGUGACCCUGCGCCGAAAAUGUACCGGGGCUAAACAUAUUACCGAAGCUGUGGAGUACACCUUUAGGUGUAUUGGUAGGAGAGCGU